This 73-nucleotide transfer RNA is filed under the name Candidatus Dadabacteria bacterium. RNAcentral describes it as "tRNA-Ala". It matches the Rfam family "tRNA". From Rfam's summary of the family: Transfer RNA (tRNA) molecules are approximately 80 nucleotides in length. Their secondary structure includes four short double-helical elements and three loops (D, anti-codon, and T loops). Further hydrogen bonds mediate the characteristic L-shaped molecular structure. tRNAs have two regions of fundamental functional importance: the anti-codon, which is responsible for specific mRNA codon recognition, and the 3' end, to which the tRNAs corresponding amino acid is attached (by aminoacyl-tRNA synthetases). tRNAs cope with the degeneracy of the genetic code in two manners: having more than one tRNA (with a specific anti-codon) for a particular amino acid; and 'wobble' base-pairing, i.e. permitting non-standard base-pairing at the 3rd anti-codon position. The record is from RNAcentral. Lineage: Bacteria; Pseudomonadati; Thermodesulfobacteriota; Candidatus Dadabacteria.
GGGGGUGUAGCUCAGUUGGGAGAGCGUGUCGUUCGCAUCGACAAGGUCAGGGGUUCGAAUCCCCUCACCUCCA